AGCUAGUAGAUAGAUCACUUAAGGCCGUGUAGGACCUGGUAAGAAACAGGAGUUUUAGUCUAUGCGUAAUGAGUAGGAGAGGUUUAAAGCAGAAGAGUACAUAAUCUGACUUUUGGUUUAAAAGUCUCAACCUUGGUGGAUAUGGAUUUAACAAGCUACCGGGGUCAGGAAAGAGGACAGAAUCCUGAGUUAAGAAGUAACUGUAGUAAUCUAGGAAAGAGAUCAGGAAUAUUUAAACUAAGGAGGAAGUGAAUCCACCAGCAACAGUGCCUGCUGACAGGCAUUAUGGCUUAAUUCUCCCAGGAAACCCUGGCUGAGAACGUCUACGGGAUCAAGUCUAAUCUCCUCAAAAUGAAACAGAAGAUCAUUUACAUGCCAUAGACGUCUCCACCUUAUUUCUUGAGACUUCUCUUCCCUUCUUCCUAUAUCAAGCUACCUACAAUUUCCUUAAUGCCGAGCCUAUUUCCAACUUCUUUGUUUGGAAUUCC
This is a long non-coding RNA of Panthera uncia (snow leopard), 488 nucleotides long. RefSeq lists it as uncharacterized. NCBI's taxonomy places the organism in Eukaryota, Metazoa, Chordata, Mammalia, Carnivora, Felidae. The transcript has 2 exons. The record is from RefSeq and is a predicted model, not a curated record.